RNAcentral lists this ribosomal RNA (253 nucleotides) under uncultured bacterium. RNAcentral describes it as "partial 16S ribosomal RNA". It matches the Rfam family "Bacterial small subunit ribosomal RNA", at positions 524 to 776 of the family's 1533-position model. The record is from RNAcentral.
UACGUAGGGUGCAAGCGUUAAUCGGAAUUAUUGGGCGUAAAGCGCACGUAGGCGGCUUGGCAAGUCGGAUGUGAAAGCCCUCGGCUCAACCAAGGAAGUGCAUCCGAAACUGCUGAGCUUGAGUACUUAAGAGGAUCGCGGAAUUCCCGGUGUAGAGGUGAAAUUCGUAGAUAUCGGGAGGAACACCAGUGGCGAAGGCGGCGAUCUGGGAAGAUACUGACGCUGAGGUGCGAAAGCGUGGGGAGCAAACAGG